GGGGACAACAGUUGGAAACGACUGCUAAUACCGCAUAAAAUAACGGAAUCGCAUGAUUCUGUUAUCAAAGGAGAAAUCCGCUGAAAGAUGGGCUCGCGUCUGAUUAGAUAGUUGGUGAGGUAACGGCCCACCAAGUCGACGAUCAGUAGCCGGACUGAGAGGUUGAACGGCCACAUUGGGACUGAGACACGGCCCAGACUCUUACGGGAGGCAGCAGUGGGGGAUAUUGGACAAUGGGGGAAACCCUGAUCCAGCGAUGCCGCGUGAGGGAAGAAGGUUUUCGGAUUGUAAACCUCUGUGGACAGGGACGAUAAUGACGGUACCUGUCAAGAAAGCCACGGCUAACUACGUGCCAGCAGCCGCGGUAAUACGUAGGUGGCGAGCGUUGUCCGGAAUUACUGGGUGUAAAGGGAGUGUAGGCGGGAAGGCAAGUCAGAAGUGAAAAUUAUGGGCUCAACCCAUAACCUGCUUUUGAAACUGUUUUUCUUGAGUGAAGCAGAGGCAAGCGGAAUUCCUAGUGUAGCGGUGAAAUGCGUAGAUAUUAGGAGGAACACCAGUGGCGAAGGCAGCUUGCUGGGCUUUUACUGACGCUGAGGCUCGAAAGCGUGGGGAGCAAACAGGAUUAGAUACCCUGGUAGUCCACGCCGUAAACGAUGAUUACUAGGUGUGGGGGGAUGAACCCUUCCGUGCCGGAG
RNAcentral lists this ribosomal RNA (695 nucleotides) under uncultured bacterium. Its description in RNAcentral is "bacterial SSU rRNA". It matches the Rfam family "Bacterial small subunit ribosomal RNA", at positions 139 to 851 of the family's 1533-position model. The record is from RNAcentral.